This 493-nucleotide ribosomal RNA is filed under the name uncultured bacterium. Its description in RNAcentral is "partial 16S ribosomal RNA". It matches the Rfam family "Bacterial small subunit ribosomal RNA", at positions 28 to 523 of the family's 1533-position model. The record is from RNAcentral.
GAUGAACGCUAGCGGCAGGCUUAACACAUGCAAGUCGAGGGGUAGAGGCUUUCGGGCCUUGAGACCGGCGCACGGGUGCGUAACGCGUAUGCAAUCUGCCUUGUACUGGGGGAUAGCCCAGAGAAAUUUGGAUUAAUACCCCAUAGUAUUUUCGGUUGGCAUCAACUGAUUAUUAAAGUUUUUCGGUACAAGAUGAGCAUGCGUCCCAUUAGCUAGUUGGUAUGGUAACGGCAUACCAAGGCUACGAUGGGUAGGGGUCCUGAGAGGGAGAUCCCCCACACUGGUACUGAGACACGGACCAGACUCCUACGGGAGGCAGCAGUGAGGAAUAUUGGUCAAUGGUCGCAAGACUGAACCAGCCAUGCCGCGUGCAGGAUGAAGCAUCUAUGGUGUGUAAACUGCUUUUGUACGGGAAGAAACACUCCUACGUGUAGGGGCUUGACGGUACCGUAAGAAUAAGGAUCGGCUAACUCCGUGCCAGCAGCCGCAGUAA